This 73-nucleotide transfer RNA is filed under the name Bos taurus (domestic cattle). It matches the Rfam family "tRNA". From Rfam's summary of the family: Transfer RNA (tRNA) molecules are approximately 80 nucleotides in length. Their secondary structure includes four short double-helical elements and three loops (D, anti-codon, and T loops). Lineage: Eukaryota; Metazoa; Chordata; Mammalia; Artiodactyla; Bovidae. RNAcentral also lists the same sequence under 2 other names. The record is from Rfam by way of RNAcentral.
UCCCUGGUGGUCCAAUGGUUAAGACUCCACAGUUCCAAUGUAGGGGAUGCAGGUUGGAUCCCUGGUCAGGGAA